RNAcentral lists this ribosomal RNA (544 nucleotides) under uncultured bacterium. RNAcentral describes it as "bacterial SSU rRNA". It matches the Rfam family "Bacterial small subunit ribosomal RNA", at positions 966 to 1509 of the family's 1533-position model. The record is from RNAcentral.
GAACCUUACCUGGCCUUGACAUACUAAGAACUUUCCAGAGAUGGAUUGGUGCCUUCGGGAACUUAGAUACAGGUGCUGCAUGGCUGUCGUCAGCUCGUGUCGUGAGAUGUUGGGUUAAGUCCCGCAACGAGCGCAACCCUUUUCCUUAUUUGCCAGCGGGUUAAGCCGGGAACUUUAAGGAUACUGCCAGUGACAAACUGGAGGAAGGCGGGGACGACGUCAAGUCAUCAUGGCCCUUACGGCCAGGGCUACACACGUGCUACAAUGGUCGGUACAAAGGGUUGCUACCUCGCGAGAGGAUGCUAAUCUCAAAAAGCCGAUCGUAGUCCGGAUCGCAGUCUGCAACUCGACUGCGUGAAGUCGGAAUCGCUAGUAAUCGCGGGUCAGAAUGCCGCGGUGAAUACGUUCCCGGGCCUUGUACACACCGCCCGUCACACCAUGGGAGUUUGUUGCACCAGAAGUAGGUAGUCUAACCGCAAGGAGGACGCUUACCACGGUGUGGCCGAUGACUGGGGUGAAGUCGUAACAAGGUAGGCGUAGAUGA